CAGCCGCCACGGGAAUACGGAGGGUGCAAGCGUUAAUCGGAAUUACUGGGCGUAAAGCGCACGCAGGCGGUCUGACAAGUCAGAUGUGAAAUCCCCGGGCUUAACCUGGGAACUGCAUUUGAAACUGUCAGGCUGGAGUCUUGUAGAGGGGGGUAGAAUUCCAGGUGUAGCGGUGAAAUGCGUAGAGAUCUGGAGGAAUACCGGUGGCGAAGGCGGCCCCCUGGACAAAGACUGACGCUCAGGUGCGAAAGCGUGGGGAGCAAACAGGAUUAGAUACCCCGGUAGUCCCUGUCUCUUAUAC
RNAcentral lists this ribosomal RNA (301 nucleotides) under uncultured bacterium. Its description in RNAcentral is "partial 16S ribosomal RNA". It matches the Rfam family "Bacterial small subunit ribosomal RNA", at positions 509 to 807 of the family's 1533-position model. The record is from RNAcentral.